This 1095-nucleotide long non-coding RNA is filed under the name Sus scrofa (pig). Its description in RNAcentral is "lncRNA (ENSSSCG00005014403.1)". The record is from RNAcentral. Lineage: Eukaryota; Metazoa; Chordata; Mammalia; Artiodactyla; Suidae.
UUUUGAGCCUCUUUUUUUAAGUUUUUUUUUUUUUUUUUUUUUUUUUUUUUUUUUUUUGUCUUUUUAGGUCCGGCAUCCACAGCAUAUGGAAAUUCCCAGGCUUGGGGUCAAAUCAAAGCUGUAGCUACUAGCAUACACCACAGCCACAGCAUCACCAGACCUGAGCCAUGUCUGCGACCUACGCCACAGCUCACAGCAACGCCAGAUCCUUAACCCACUGAGUGAGGCCAGGGAUCAAACCUGCAACUUCAUGGAUACCAGUCAGGUUCAUUACCACUGAGCCACAAGGGGAACUCCAUAAGUCUGAUUCUUUUCACAAAGAAAAAAGGCAAGGACCCUUGUGAAUUGUCUCCAGAUCCUUGACUCUAGGGGAUGUAUGACAGAGAACAGAGAGGCUCGGUACUUGCCCAGAGGCACACAGCAGGAUUCCGCCAGGGGAGCUUGGGUAGAGGUAAGGUGACUUGUGGGUGGUACCCGCAUUGUGUGUCUCUGGGCAUCAAGUCUACAUCUUUUUCCUCCAGAGAAGAAAUGUAUGAAGCAAGACCCCUCUCCAGGAGCCUCUUCUUGUACACCUUCCUGCAAAACCAUGGCCCCAGCUUCCUGGACGAGCAAGUGGUGGGGGUUCCUGGCGUGACCAAUAUCUUGGAGUUCCACCCCGAGGUCUCCCCCCACAGCAGUGAGGCCCCCCAUCACCUGGCCAUGCAGCUGGCCUCCAUUGCCGAUGAUCUGGAGCUGAGGUUGCUGCUGCCCCAGUUCGCCGAGCCACUCUGGAUGAUCGUGUACAGCUCUUUCUUCCCCUUUAGCCAGAUAGGCCCGAGGGAUGUUCUUCGAAGCUUCAUGAUUGCGUUCACGAACCUCAGGGAGAACCGAAGGCUCAGGAGCAUCUUGUCCCUCAGGGACAGGGUGUCUCCCAGCCUGUGGCCCGAGCUGGCGCUGUCCCUGCUGCUGGUGGUGAUGCUUGCCUGGAGGGUCGUUACUGGUGAACGCACCUGCUCCCCUGGCCCAGCCCGCGCUGUGCCGAGAAGGUGCCUCCUCCUUGUGGGUUGGUCACAGCGGACGUCAGGGGGGGUGCUGGUCACACCCCUGUGUCUGUGA